GACGAACGCUGGCGGCGUGCUUAACACAUGCAAGUCGAACGAAAAGAGGGAAAGAGCUUGCUCUUUCCGGAAUUGAGUGGCAAACGGGUGAGUAACACGUAAACAACCUGCCUUCAGGAUGGGGACAACAGACGGAAACGACUGCUAAUACCGAAUAAGUUCCAAGGGCCGCAUGGCCCAUGGAAGAAAAGGUGGCCUCUACCUGUAAGCUAUCGCCUGAAGAGGGGUUUGCGUCUGAUUAGCUGGUUGGAGGGGUAACGGCCCACCAAGGCGACGAUCAGUAGCCGGUCUGAGAGGAUGAACGGCCACACUGGAAUUGAGACACGGUCCAGACUCCUACGGGAGGCAGCAGGGGGGAAUCUUCCGCAAUGGGCGAAAGCCUGACGGAGCAACGCCGCGUGAGUGAUGACGGCCUUCGGGUUGUAAAACUCUGUGAUCCGGGACGAAAAGGCAGAGUGCGAAGAACAAACUGCAUUGACGGUACCGGAAAAGCAAGCCACGGCUAACUACGUG
RNAcentral lists this ribosomal RNA (513 nucleotides) under uncultured bacterium. RNAcentral's name for it is "partial 16S ribosomal RNA". It matches the Rfam family "Bacterial small subunit ribosomal RNA", at positions 28 to 507 of the family's 1533-position model. The record is from RNAcentral.